This is a long non-coding RNA of Anarrhichthys ocellatus (wolf-eel), 814 nucleotides long. RefSeq lists it as uncharacterized. The transcript is spliced from 3 exons. NCBI's taxonomy places the organism in Eukaryota, Metazoa, Chordata, Actinopteri, Perciformes, Anarhichadidae. The record is from RefSeq and is a predicted model, not a curated record.
CCAAUGAGAUCAACUUCCGGCUGGAGAAGGUGAAGCUGUCCUUAGCAGGACCUGGAAUGCUGAGCGACACGGACCACUACUACAAGUCCAUUGAGCCUCUGGGUUCGAUCACCUGGACUGUAGAGUUCCACCCUCGUCUGUCGGGAAGCCGAACCCUCGUUGCUGUGAUGGACUGUGAGAACCUGCGUCAGGUGAUGGGAUCUGCUACAGUCAACAUCAUGCCCUGAGAUGCUGAUUGGUCCACAGAGCUGUGACGCCCGCCCCUCGCCAUUUCCGCCAUUUCCGCCAAUCACAGCAGCUUGAAACUGAGUGGGCGGAGCCUAACCAAUCGCACAAAUCUUUGAUUUCUUCUUUAAUUUCAUUUAGUGCACAAAUAACAUGAAUUUGAUAUUUUUGCUGUUGGAGGAAGCUUUGUGUGACAUUUAAAAAUGAGUUCAGUUAAUAAAUACUUUUUAACAUCACUUCAGCUGGCAAAUUUAGAUUUUUAAUUGAUCUCAGUAUAAAUAUGUGAAAAAUCCAUAUCUUGGAUUCUUGAAGUCGUCGUGCAAACACACAUUCAAAUAAAACCUUUGCUCUGCUUUGUUUGUGAUGAAAUUUACAGUUAAAAGAGUUUUAAAAUGUCUCUGAUUCACUUCAUCACAUUAAGAUUAUUUCCUCUUUCACUGAGUUAAAUCUUUUAACCAGCUUCAGUUCUGAUCAUAACUCCCAAACAAUAUUCAUUUUGAGACGUUUCACCCUUUCAGGGCCGGUUUGUUUCAAUAAUGUCACUGUUGUUGUUAUUUAGGUUGUGUUCAAUGCUACGGGAAUUAAUAAA